GACUCAUCCUCAACUACCCGUGUUUAAUAAUAUGUAACUUUAAUUUCAUGUUGAUCUAUCUUUGUAAUUUUAAUUUUGACGUUCAAAAUUCUGAACGAGCUCUCCCUUCCUCCGAUCAACCUCUUUGGCCGCCGCAAUGUACACAACACCAAAGACCUUCGCUCACCUCUCUCAUUUCCGAACCCUAAUCACUCUGAAACCAAAGGUAACGAACAAAAUCUAUCCUAACAGAUUAAAACCAAAAUACCUUCAAACCUAAAUUGAAUAGUGCAUACGCUUGGAAUCAAGCCCUAAACAGAGGGGAAAGAAUCAAGACGGCGUGGAGAUUCUACUAGUGAAAGGAAGAUGCGAAAAGAGCUCAGAGACUUACCUGAACCGCGAAAUGAAGAUGACGUUAAAGAAAACCAGAGGGCACAAAAUAAGGGACUGAUUCUGAUGUGCAGAGCCGAAAAGCAUGCUCGGUUCGGUAUAGCUCAAAGUCGCGGGUGGCUCUUUUGAUCGUAUGUUAAUGAACGAAACGCCUCAGACUGAACUGGCGCACAGUUGUUUGGUAUGAACAUGAUCCCCUGUGCGUGGCUGGAUUUUCUGUUAUGACUCUCUCAUUCAAUAGUACAGUUUUCCCCUGAUUCAAAAUUUUCCUUCUGAGCUAAUACAGGUCUGAUGAAUUUGUUUAUGUGGUAUGUACCUGAUUUUAAAAUGUAUGAUGUGCUGAAUAUAUUUAGAAUAGUUUCUGAACAUGACAAGAAUGUCUUGUUGAUCCUGCUAUGCUUGGAAUGAAGUGUGAUGUGUUUAUUUGGUGAUAUGGCUUAUGCAGGUUUAAAUUAUGUAGAGUCAGAAAUUGAAUGUGCAACUCUUAGAAGUUUGAAAGAAGGUUAAUAAAUCGGUUUUGUCAAUGGGCUAAAACAACUAGGGACUUCAGUUAGUAGUUAGAUUUGUGUUAGUAGAACUGUGAGCAAAUUGGUCGAAUCUUGGUGCAAAUGGUUAGGCUUUCAUGAGUGCAUACGUGUGGUUACUAUUUGUGUUAUUCAUGUAAAAAAAAUAGAUGCAUGGUUAUGAAUUGAUGUGAACUAUUUUUUGUGUUGGUUUACAUGUCUGACUUGAUGUAUGGAUAUUGAGAAUAGCUUGGAGUAUGAAGGAUGCAGAGAGGAUUGAUUAAGGAAUUAGAUUUAGGAAAUAACCUAGAAAUGGUCAACACGGUCAACCUUCCAUGGUUAACUUGUUGACCAAAAAGUCAAACUUCCAUUUUUUUCCUUGUAAUUGCGAUGUAACCUUGCAAUGUCCCUUUCUUAUUUUCUCGUACAUGACAUGUAAGCCUUGCAACUUAAGUUAAAUGAAUCUUCUUUUUUUUCAAAUAAUCUUGAAAUGCAUUAUUCUCCUUCAAAUGAUACUUGAAUUUGAAAUUCCAAUGAUUUUUCUAUUUGCAACUCGAAUUUAUAGAGUGAGGUGAAAUGUGAACCAAUGAGAAACUCAAAGAUGACUUCGGUCAAAAAGUUAACUUCUCAAGGUUGACUUUGACCAAAGUCAAAGUUCUUUAUCAAUACACCUUAGGUUUCCACCUUCAAAGCACCUCUCUUGAAUGAAAUCCAACGUUAAUGACUUGUAAUUCAAGUACUAUAACAUCUUGCUCUUUAAACACAAUUAAUUGGAGAACUUCUUUGAGUCAAUGACAAGCACAACCCUAAUUCAAAUGAUGAGUGCAAGAACAAGAAGAUGCCUCUCCAACCAUGAUCCAUAAAAGAAACUUCAUCUUCAAACUCAAGCUUUUUUUAAAGAAGUCCAUAGGAUAACUUAUGUCACAAGUAACAAGGAAAGUGGUUCCCCAUAACGUAGACAAGCUCAAGUGUUGAAGAGGAAAAAAGCCAUGAUAGUUGUAGGGCCAAACCCUAACUCAUUUGAUAAACCCAAGUAUAAGGAAAUAAACCCUAAUCCAUGACCAAUGAUCCAAUGCCCCAAGGUGAACGAUAUGUCGAUGACCUAAUGCGUGAUGCAAAUGAAUGAGAAAAUACAAGCCAAAUAAAAGUAAAAGGGUAGGACAAAUUUGAGGUAUGACAAUGAGAGGUUUCAAAUAAUUUCCUCCAAGCACUAUAUA
This is a long non-coding RNA of Vicia villosa (hairy vetch), 2089 nucleotides long. RefSeq lists it as uncharacterized. Lineage: Eukaryota; Viridiplantae; Streptophyta; Magnoliopsida; Fabales; Fabaceae. The record is from RefSeq and is a predicted model, not a curated record. The transcript has 3 exons.